RNAcentral lists this long non-coding RNA (4560 nucleotides) under Homo sapiens (human). RNAcentral's name for it is "HSALNT0225332". Lineage: Eukaryota; Metazoa; Chordata; Mammalia; Primates; Hominidae. The record is from RNAcentral.
GGUUGGAACCAGCCCUGGGCAGGAUGUCAUCCCAUUGCAGGGGGCACCUAUACCCACCCACGCUUACACUCCCUCACACUGGUGAGAGGUGAAGCCGGCUGGGCUUCUGGGUCGGGUGGGGACUUGGAGAGCUUUUCGGUCUAGCUAAAGGAUUGUAAACACACCAAUCAGCACUCUGUGUCUAGCUAAAGGUUUGUAAACAGCACCAAUUAGCACUCUGUAAAAACGCACCAAUCAGCGCUCUGUGUCUAGCUAAAGGUUUGUAAAGACACCAGUCAGCCCUCAGUAAAAAUGGACCAAUCAGCACUCUGUAAAAUGGACAAAUCAGCGCUCUGUAAAAUGGACAACUCAGCAGGAUGUGGGCGGGGCCAAAUAAGGAAAUAAAAGGUGGACACCCCGGCUAGCAGCAGCAACUUGCUUUGGGUCCGUUUCCACGCUUUGGUCUUUCUCUCUUGGCAGUAAAUCUUGCUGCUCCUCACUUUUUGGGUUAGUACUACGUUUAUGAGCUGUCACACUCACCGGGAAGGUCUACAGCUUCACUCCUGAAGCCAGUGAGACCGUUAACCCACCAGGAGGAACGGGCAACUCAGACCGCGCCACCUUUAAGAGCUGUAACACUCACCGCGAAGGUCUGCGGCUUCACUCCAGAAGUCAGCGAGACCACGAAUCCUGCGGGAGGAACGAACUCCGACCGCGCCACCUUUAAGAGCUGUAACACUCACUGCGAAGGUCUGUGGCUUCACUCUUGAAGUCAGCAAGACCACGAACCCACCAGAAGGAAGAAACUCCGGACACAUCUGAACAUCUGAAGGAACUCGGGACACGCCAUCUUUAAGAACUGUUAACACUCACUGCGGGGGUCUGCGGCUUCAUUCCUGACGUCAGCGAGACCAAGAACCCACCGGAAGGAACCAGUUCCAGACAUACUGGGACCGUGUGGAUACGUCGGUAAACCUGACAUGCACAUCUUUAGGAGAUAGCUGGAGAAAACCCAUGCAGAUUGUGGGUUUAUCCCCAGCUGGGGAUAGAUUUUUUUUCCCCAUCAAUAUUGUAAAGAAAACUGAAUGAAUUAGUUAUUCAAGAACCAGCUGUACCUCUUACAUAGGGUUGUCCCGAGGGCUAUGAGAGAUCAUGUUUGUAAAGUGCCCAAGAAGCAGUGGCUACUAUUAUUACUAACUUGCUUUUUCUGUGCAGUAACUUUAUAAGAUAAAUUUUGCCACAGUUUUAUAGAUGAAGAGACUGAGGCAAAUGGAGGUCCCUUAAUUUACCAGAAGUCUUCUACCUUAAGAAAGACAAGACUCGGAUUCUAAUUUAAGUCAUUUUGAUACAUUCUACUCUCCCCACCACAGCAUAUUAAAUGUAAUGCACACUCAAAAAUACUGGGUUUUUUUUUUGUUUUUUUUUUUUGAGACAGAGUUUCGCACUUUUUGCCCAGGCUGGAGUGCAAUGGCGCGACCUUGGCUCCACCUCUUGGGUUCAAAUGAUUCUCCUGCCUCAGCCUUCUGAGUAGCUGGGAUUACAGGCAUGCAUCAGCACGCCUGGCUAAUUUUGUAUUUUUAGUAGAGAUGGGGUUUCUCCAUGUUGCUCAGGCUGGUCUCGAACUCCUGACUUCAGGUGAUCCUCCCACCUAGGCCUCCCAGAGUGUUGGGAUUAUAGGUGUGAGCCACUGCGCCUGGCCUGGAUUUCUCUAUUUGUUUAUGCGAAAUCGUCUACUGGCAUUACCAUCUCUCAAAACAUUUUCCUGGACUUUUAACUAAAGAUUUUUUCCAUUGUAAUGGGCACAAGUGCAAUUUCCCUUUCAUUUUAAGAGACUGUGAGAAGUAACAAAUCAGGUGAUGGUCUUGUUUUCCCAAGCUGCUACAGAGCUUCUGCAGCUCCAAGCAUGACCACUAUAUUUGGCUGCUUAAAAGCAUAACAAGGGCAGAAAUCAUAAAGGCUUUGCCCAGAGGGCCUUGAUUGUCCUUGCCUUCUUGUCCUUUGGUGAGAACUUCAUUGGUGGUGGCUCCAAAAAUCAGGAGACUUUCUGUGAUGAAUUCACCAUAAGAACGUGGGACCCAGCCUCCCUUGAAGGACGGAAGAAGUAAAGUCAAGAAACAAGAUAUCCUCAAGCUACUCUUAGGAUCAGUGUCUGCAUAGAUCUGGCACACAGAAAUGCAAGGAAACAAUUUGUGCAAAGCAUUAAAAAAAAAAGGGGGGACCCUGAGAGUAUAACAAGUGCUCCUGAGAGAGGACAGACGGAGAGGACGCAUGGGCAGGGAUGGCCGCCCUGAGCAGCUGAUGUUCGAGCUAAGAUCUGAAAGGUGCAUGAUUUCCCACUUACCUCCCGCAACCACUACCACCCACGUUGUCCACAGUAUUCAGCUGUCUCAGGGAGGAUCACAAUUAUUCUAAUGGGACUGCAAAGAGUGAAGGACACAGCUUUUAACAUCAGAUUCGAAUCCUACAAUUUGGAACCCAUGGGCACUUCUAGAUUGGAUCUUGCAGAGAUUUUUUACAACAGAAAUAAUGGAAAGGCAAAAGAAAACAUUGAGUAAUAACCAACCCAAGCAAGUCCAGCCUCUUUCUGCAGAAGCAGAUAAUCAGGAUGACUCCACCUUUGUACCUGACUGAGGAACUUAGUGAACCCUGAAGAAAUGAUGAUUAAAGAGACAAUGAAGAGGCCAGGCGCAGUGGCUCAUGCCUGUAAUCCCAGCACUUUGGGAGGCCGAGGUAGGCGGAUCAUGAGGUCAGGAAAUCGAGACCAUCCUGGCUAACAUGGUGAAACUCUAUCUCUACUAAAAAUACAAAAAAUAAGCUGGGUGUGGUGGCACGUGCCUGUAAUCCCAGCUACUCAGGAAGCUGAGACAGGAGAAUCGCUUGAACCCAGGAGGUGGAGGUUGCAGUGAGCCGAAGUCGUGCCGUUGCACUCCAGUCCGGGUGACAGAGUGAGACUCUGUCUCAAAAAAAAAAAAAAAAAAAAAGGACAAUGAAGACAGGAGACAUUGGGCUGUGCCCUUCUAGAUAUGACAGGGAGCAAAUAAGCCAACUCCAGGUCAGUAUAAAAUCCUAGGUGAUCAUUAAAAUCACUUAAAUAAGCCAACUCCAGGUCAGCAUAAAAUCCUAGGCGAUCAUUAAAAUCACUUAAAAUUAAAAUCCUAGGUGAUCAUUAAAACCACUUCAAAAAGACAUGUUUUGGGAGCUAUGUGUUCAGGGAAACAGAGGAGAAAACAACUGGGACUCUAUGAGGUGCCAGGUUUGAAGCUGUAUGGAUGUGACUGAUGUCAGGUUUUCAUGAGCCCAGUGGAAAAUUUAGAGGCAGUAAACUGGGCAACUGGGGCUGUUGGUGCUUGAGUAAUGCUUGGGCAUCAAGAUCUCCAAACUGUGUGGCCGCACCUGUGGUCCUAGCUACUCAGGAGGCUGAGGUGGGAGGAUAGUUGGAGCCUGGGAGAUUGAGGCUGCAGUGAGCUGUGAUGGUGCCACUGUACUCUAGCCUGGGUGACAGAGCGAGACUUGUCUCAAAAAAAAAAAAAUCUCCAAACUGGACUCUCUCUCACUAGGGAUUUGUCUCUUUCUCCUCUCCUUCUCUUCCUUCCUAAUUAUCUCCUUUUCUUUAUUCACAAUAUAUAUAUCCUCAACUAUGGAUAAGUGUGCUUAUACUCAGCUAUAUUUUCUUUUUUUCCAGCUAUAUUGAUGUAUAAUUGACAAAUAAAAAUUAGAUAUUGUUAAGGUGUACAACAUAGUGCUUGACAGAUAUAUACAUUGUGAAAUAAUUACCACAACCAAGCAAGCUAGUUAACAUAUCCAUCACCUCAUGUAGUUACUUUUUUGGGUUUUUUUUUUUUUGGUGUGGUGAGAACACUGAAAAUCAACUCUCUUAGCAAAUUUUGAGUAUUCAAUGAAGUAUACUUGAAUAACACUGUAUACAAAUUCAAGUAUAAAUUCAAGUAUACAAUGCUAUUAGCUAUAGUCAUCCUGCUAUAUAUUAGUUCUCCAGAACCUACUCAUCAUAUAAGUUAACGUUUGUACCCUUUGCCCAAGACCGCCCCACUUCCUCCUCCCACCAGCUGCUGGUAACAACCAUUCUACUCUCUGUUUCUAUGAGUUUGACUUUUUUAGGUUUUGCAUAGAAGUGACAUCAUGCAGUAUUUAUCUUUCUGUGUCUGGCUUGUUUCAUUUAGCAUAACGUCUUGCAGGUUCAUUCAUGUUGUCGCAAAUGGCAGGAUUUCCUUAUUUUUAAAGGCUGAAUAUUCCAUUGUGUGUGAAAAUAUAUGAUAUCAACUGUAUUUUCAUAUAUGUGUCUAACUGGAUGGCCUCUUAAUAAACUUUAAAGGAUUAAAGAUUGUCAUUAGAGAAUUCUAAAUAAGGUGGUUUUAGGUUCAUAUUAUACAAUACAUGUAAUGUGCAUGCAUUAUGUCGACUCUUAUUAAAUUCUAAGUCCUACUCAAUAGUGUUGAGAGCAUUAAUGCACCCAAGAAUUUUGUUUUUUUAUUUAACUUAGUGAGAAAAUAUAACUUAAUAUAUAGCAAUUCACUUAGAUUGAUAUAGAAGUAAUUAACACCACAUUCUUAUUAAUAGAUUUCU